CCUACGGGAGGCAGCAGUGGGGAAUUUUGGACAAUGGGCGCAAGCCUGAUCCAGCAAUGCCGCGUGCAGGAUGAAGGCCUUCGGGUUGUAAACUGCUUUUGUACGGAACGAAACGGUUCUUUCUAAUAAAGAGAGCUAAUGACGGUACCGUAAGAAUAAGCACCGGCUAACUACGUGCCAGCAGCCGCGGUAAUACGUAGGGUGCGAGCGUUAAUCGGAAUUACUGGGCGUAAAGCGUGCGCAGGCGGUUAUAUAAGACAGAUGUGAAAUCCCCGGGCUCAACCUGGGACCUGCAUUUGUGACUGUAUAGCUAGAGUACGGUAGAGGGGGAUGAAAUUCCGCGUGUAGCAGUGAAAUGCGUAGAUAUGCGGAGGAACACCGAUGGCGAAGGCAAUCCCCUGGACCUGUACUGACGCUCAUGCACGAAAGCGUGGGGAGCAAACAGGAUUAGAUACCCUGGUAGUCCACGCCCUAAACGAUGUCACUGGUUGUUGGGUCUUCACUGACUCAGUAACGAAGCUAACGCGUGAAGUUCGACCGCCGUGGGGAGGUACGGCCGCGAGGUAGUAACGUAACGAAGUAAGUAGACGCGNGAGAGACGACGACGACGACGACGGAGGGAGGAGG
Molecule: ribosomal RNA, 627 nt
Filed under: uncultured bacterium
Lineage: Bacteria
Description: bacterial SSU rRNA
Rfam family: Bacterial small subunit ribosomal RNA (bases 1-542)
Source: RNAcentral